UAAAUAAAUAAGCUCAUAUACUAAAACUGGAAUGAUACAGAGAAGACUAGCAUAGCCCCUGCACAAGGAUGACAUGCAAAUCUGUGAAGUGUUCCAUUAAAAA
Saimiri boliviensis boliviensis (Bolivian squirrel monkey) is the source of this 103-nucleotide small nuclear RNA. The record is from RefSeq and is a predicted model, not a curated record. Lineage: Eukaryota; Metazoa; Chordata; Mammalia; Primates; Cebidae.